GGGAAGGUGGCUCAGUGAUAGAGUGCUUGCCUUGCAUGCAUGAGGCCCUAGGUUCGAUUCCUCAGUACCA
This 70-nucleotide transfer RNA is filed under the name Dipodomys ordii (Ord's kangaroo rat). It matches the Rfam family "tRNA". Rfam says of the family: Transfer RNA (tRNA) molecules are approximately 80 nucleotides in length. Their secondary structure includes four short double-helical elements and three loops (D, anti-codon, and T loops). Further hydrogen bonds mediate the characteristic L-shaped molecular structure. tRNAs have two regions of fundamental functional importance: the anti-codon, which is responsible for specific mRNA codon recognition, and the 3' end, to which the tRNAs corresponding amino acid is attached (by aminoacyl-tRNA synthetases). tRNAs cope with the degeneracy of the genetic code in two manners: having more than one tRNA (with a specific anti-codon) for a particular amino acid; and 'wobble' base-pairing, i.e. permitting non-standard base-pairing at the 3rd anti-codon position. The record is from Rfam by way of RNAcentral. Lineage: Eukaryota; Metazoa; Chordata; Mammalia; Rodentia; Heteromyidae.